GCAAGUCGAGCGCUCUCCUUUCGGGGAGGGAGCGGCGGACGGGUUAGUAACGCGUGGGAACGUACCCUUUUCUACGGAAUAGCCAUUGGAAACGAUGAGUAAUACCGUAUACGCCCUACGGGGGAAAGAUUUAUCGGUAAAGGAUUGGCCCGCGUUAGAUUAGAUAGUUGGUGGGGUAACGGCCUACCAAGUCUACGAUCUAUAGCUGGUUUGAGAGGAUGAUC
RNAcentral lists this ribosomal RNA (224 nucleotides) under uncultured bacterium. RNAcentral's name for it is "partial 16S ribosomal RNA". It matches the Rfam family "Bacterial small subunit ribosomal RNA", at positions 57 to 305 of the family's 1533-position model. The record is from RNAcentral.